GAGAAAAGAGAUUGGGAAAUGAACAAGAAGAGAAGAUGUGGAUUAGAACCCUGUUCCUGCUGCGACCGUGAUGGUGGGCUGCCUGUUUGAGUGCUCGCGUGCCUCCUCCUCCACAUCUCUCUCUCUCUCUCUCACACAUAAACAAUUCGCUCCUUGCGCACUCAAUCUGUCCCUUGCUCUUGAUCUGUCUGUGCCGCUUUUCUCUUUCUCUCCCUCGCUCGCUCGCUCACUCUCUCGCUUGCUCGCUCUGCCGCGCUCCCUCUCUCUUAGUCUUUCUCUACCUGUUCUACUGGCUACUGCAGUAGUCCACCAGCCAGCCGCAAGUCUGACAGCCACACACAUGGCUAACUGCCAUAACUUACUACCUCAGCCCUGGAGGAAAACUAACAUAUAAGCGGAGGGGGGAAACCUAAAGAAAACAGGAGAGGAGACAGACAGCGUUGGAAAAGAAGAACCUUCUAUACCUUUCUCUGUGCAUGGAUGCAGAUACGAAGCCCACCUCCACUCACAUCGUCCCAGCUCUUUUUUCUCUCUUUGCAGAAGAGGACAAGACUGCUCUCUCUCUUAAGGCAGCAUUUUGCGAACCUCCAGCAGCGCAGCGCAUCUCCCUUCUCAACCCCCCACCCAGUGCCACCAUCUCUCCCACCACCCUCAACCCCUCCUCCCCCAGGAGGAAUAGAUGGAUUACUGCUAACUGUGCACACGGCAGCCUGCAGCUGCUCUGACCACGGCCAGCCCAAUGUUGGGAGGAAGUAAGAGGAACGCAGCGGAGGAGAGGAGAGGGGGAUGAUUGUGCCGGGAGUUCUUUAGCCUUUUUCUGUCUCUCAGUCUCUGUCACAACGGGGCUAAUCACCAACCGACUAGCCCUUGGCAAAGUCAAACUGAGGGAGGUCUCUCGACAAGCAGGCAGCAAACGGACAAGCCGACACAUGUAUCUGGAGCUGACAGAACUGGGAUUUUUAUAUCAUUAACUUUGUCGCUCGGUCUCGCCUCACCGUUCUUGCGCGGUAUGGAUCGUUUCGAUUUAUUCGCAGAACAGAUGGACUCUGGACGGCGUGACCUGGCAGGGGAGAAGUUUGCUGGGGCAGAAGGGUUCCGGGCACUUGUCAAGCCCCCCUGGCCUCACCUUCUUCGCUGAGUGCCGUCAAUGUAGCCCCCGGUUUCAACACCAGGAGCCAUUUUGUACUCUUGGCUAAUAGAGGGCCACUUCACUUGUUCAGGAGAGAAGAAAAAAAAAAAAAGUGCCAUGUUUCACCUCGAUGGAAAUUUGUGAAUUAAUGUGAUGACUGCAGCUCUUGACCUUUGGGAAGAGGCACAAGGAUCACUUUUAAACUCAUGAGAACCUCCCUGCGCUACGGAUGGAACUUAGGAGCCCUAAGUUGCUCCAGCCAGGCUAGGGUGGUCUGUCGACUGGUGCUUACCAUCUCCCCCCGCCAUGCAGAAUAAUGAGCCCUCCACACCAUGAGUCCUUUGGGCCAGGUUAGUGUGCAGCCUACCUGGAAUGCAGCCCUGCUCGCCGUGCUUACCCUCAUGGUGCCUGCUUUCAGUAUGUGCCAGUCUACAGGCCCCGCAUCGGGCUCGGCCCACCCACAGACCUGUCCGGGAGUGUGCUCUUGCACGAAUCAACUCAGCAAGGUGGUGUGUACCCGCCGUGGCCUAAUUCGUGUUCCUCCAAACAUCCCGGCCAACACCAGGUACCUCAACCUGAUGGAAAACAGUAUAGAGACCAUAGAGGCAGACACAUUCAGGCAUCUGCACCAUUUGGAGGUGCUGCAGCUGGGCAGGAAUGCCAUCAGGCAGAUUGAGGUGGGGGCCUUCAACGGGUUGACCAGCCUCAACACGCUGGAGCUGUUCGAUAACAGGCUAACCGUCAUUCCAAGUGGAGCUUUUGAGAACCUGUCAAAGUUGAGAGAGCUGUGGCUGAGAAAUAAUCCCAUUGAAAGCAUCCCCUCUAAUGCGUUCACUCGCGUGCCCUCGCUGAUGAGACUGGACUUGGGAGAAUUGAGAAAGCUGGAGUACAUCUCGGAUGGAGCGUUUGAGGGUCUGCAGAACCUCAAGUAUCUUAACCUGGGAAUGUGCAACUUGAGGGAGUUCCCCAGUCUCUCUCCUCUCGUGGGACUGGAGGAGCUAGAAAUGUCUGAGAACGUUUUUCCUGAACUCAAGCCUGGAUCUUUCCAUGGACUGAAAAACUUACGGAAACUCUGGAUUAUGAACUCCGCCAUAACAACGAUUGAGAGAAACGCAUUUGAUGAUAUUACAGAACUGGUGGAGUUGAAUCUAGCGCAUAACAACCUCUCCUCUAUUCCUCAUAACCUUUUCACUCCUCUUCAGUACCUUGUGGAGCUCCACCUGCACCAUAACCCCUGGCGUUGUGACUGCGAUGUAGUGUGGCUCUCCUGGUGGCUUAGAGAAUACAUACCGACCAACUCCACCUGCUGUGGCCGCUGCCACACCCCUAUACACAUGAGAGGACGGUUCCUGGUGGAGGUAGAUCAGAACACCUUCCAGUGUUCGGCACCAUUCAUACUUGACGCCCCAAGAGAUCUGAACAUCUCAGCAGCCAGAGUGGCGGAACUGAAGUGUCGCACAGCCGCUAUGAGUUCUGUUCGUUGGCUUCUGCCCAGUGGUACUGUGCUCACCCAUGGUUCAGUUCACCCAAGGAUAUCAGUCCUAAAUGACGGGACGCUCAAUUUUUCUAACGUUCUCCCCUCUGACACGGGAGUCUACACCUGCAUGGUGAGCAACAUGGCAGGAAACUCAAACGCCUCAGCCUACUUAAAUGUCAGCAACGCCGAACUAAACACAUCCAAUCUGUCCUAUUUCACCACGGUAACUGUGGAGGUUUUAGAACCCACUGCUGAGGAGACUCCAAAACCGAAGCCUACUGUCGCUGCGUCGCCUUCUGUCUUUCAGCCCGUCUUCAUUUCCACCCCAACGGUUUUAUUCCAAAACACCCAGACUCCUAGGCAAGUGUCGAAUCCCACUGCCAAAGUCCCCAGUGGUCCGGCAGCCAGCCUAGACGAGGUGAUGAAAACCACGAAGAUCAUCAUUGGCUGUUUCGUUGCUGUGACCUUGUUUGCGGCUGCCAUGUUGAUAGCGUUCUAUAAGUUGCGCAAACGGCAUCAACAAAGGAGCACGGUGGCAGCUGCCAGGACCAUAGAAAUCAUUCAGAUGGAUGAGGAGGUUCCACCGGUUCCGGCACCCACCUCCAUAUCCAGUGGCUCUGAUGACACCGGGUUGGUUCUGCCUACUUUAGUGGAACACAAUAGCAACACCUUUAAACCCGGCUAUGUGUCCUCUGCAAACAGACAAAUGGGCUAUGGAGCCCACUGGACCGAGAACAACUCUCUGCAUCGCUCAGUGAGACAGCAUCACAGCCACAUCAGCACCAUCGCUGAUCCAUACAUGAUAAAGACUUCUCAUGGAAAGGAAAAGGUUCAAGAGACCCAAAUCUGACUGACGUUCCUGUGGAUUUACCUGGACUCUUUCACCAUGUUCAUGCAAUAGAGUGCACAAAGAACAAAAUAUUAACUUUAUUUUGUACAGUCGUGCGAAGCAGAGACAUUUUGGUUUUUGUUUCUUGUACAUGCCUAUACAUAAUUAUAUAAUUAUUGAAAAAAAAAAAAACCCACAAAUAUAUAUAUGACACUACGGAGCAGUGGUGAGACAUGCAGAUUAUAUUAGAAAAGAAAGACAUUUUAAACUAUUUUCUAAAAACUGGUGACUUCUAUUUUAAAAAGAAACUGAAUUGCUUUUGUGAUUGAUUAUAGAACUUGGUGAUGUCUACUGUAGAAAAGAAAAGAAGCAUUUACUUUGUUUUGACAAUAUCUAGGACGCAGCUGAAAAAAAAAAAAAAUAGUCUUCACACAAGAGCCGGUUUCCGACUACAGCCCCUGGUUACAUCCCCACCAUUUACUGUGCCAAAUACUUUAUGCAAUACAUUAAAAUAAUCAGACGAAGACACACGAAUCUAGAUAGACAGAAACCCAUCCACGAUAGUAACAAAACUGCACAGAUACAAAGUGCUGUUCAGUAGCUAUCGGCCAAAUGCUUUUGGACUGCAGUGGUUUUUCUGACGCUAUGUUUUAACCCUCCGUUCGCUGGAUCUAACCUAUAAGCUUUAUUUGAGAGUACCAGUGCUUCUUAGAUGUAGUGUUUCUUAACAUGUUUUAUGUGUACACACAGUUCUCUGUUGGUCCCAGUGAAGAACAUGAAGUGCUGACUAACCAUUGCUGAAAAUACUUUGUUACAUUUUGUCUUUCCCCCUUCUGUUGCUUCUUUAAUGGCUUGUGUAGUGUUUAGGGCUAUUUUAGUAAUGCAUUAAAGCAGUUGCCUGACUUGUCUCUGCAAGGGCUCAUUCCGAUACACAAUUUCCAAAGGAACGGACACGUGGUGCGGUGGUUCAGGGCUUUGCUGAUCGUUCUGACUCCGAAGAGGAGAAAAUAAACAUCCGACUGGACUCAAGCUAAAUGAAUGUCUGACGCCGAGGCUUUUUCACGGAGUACCCUGAAACAUGACUCUGUUUCUUCCCUUUUCUUUUCUUCUGUUUAUUUUGAGCAACACUAUUUUUAUGGAGAGACAAAAGAGGCUAUGAAAAAUAAAAACACAACCUUUGGUUUGUAUUUCUCUAAUCAGAGAGAUGUUCAUUUGAAGUAUAUUUCCAUCUGUGUGUAACUGUUUUGGGCUGGAGGCAGUAUUGUAAAUCAUUUCCUAACUCAUACACCCGCUACCAUCCUAUGCAUUUGCUUAGUGUCUGCAUGAAUGGGUCUUUAAGUGACUGGUGUACAAUGCUGCAUUAUACCCCACAGUGGGGCUCUAUGCAGGUCAGAUAGGCUGUUGGUCUUUGAUGCCUCAGCUUGCUCUAAACAUUAAUUUCUCCAUGACUGUGAAAGAGAAAAAUACAUAUAUCCCACAGCUACACACUUUUAUGGGUUUCCUUUCCUCACACGGUUAUCAGAAUGUUUUGGCCAUACCUUAAUACACGACUCAUGGAAGCAGAGAAUACAGCAUUCUUUGGGUGCAAUGCUUGUUUUGCAUUUACUGGCUUGGAUCAUUAAAAAACAAUCUUCAGUCAGACAAAGAGAUUUUGUAAGUUCGGUUUUGCUGCUUUUAUUUUUUUAAUCGACAACCCGCUGAACAUUGUAAAACAGUAUGACUCAUUCACCGUUGCGUCUCAUCGCCGUCUCAAUAAAAAGCAAAGGAGGCUCUAUUUAAAGUGUUUCACCGUUUAUAUGUACACAACGUUGAAGGUGAGCGACUCGUGAUUUUGUUCACUGAGGUUCACAUUUGAACAGUUGGGGAUUUGAAUUAAAAGCAGGGUGAAUGUUUUCUACAUGCAAACCCAAGUUUGUUGACAUCAAGGCUUAUACAGUGAAAACAAACAAAAAAAAAAACUUUAAGAAAAAAUGUAUUCACGAUCCGAGGCUUUCUUUCAUGUAUGAAAUAUCAUUAAUUGCAAUGAGCUCAAUUGGACAGCAGGGGGCGUUUGCCCUGUUGUUCAUACAGCACACGGUCAGUAGUAGUGAUGGGUAGAUGAGGUAUCAUGAAACAGUAUUGCAUAUGCCACUAGAUGGUGCUCUUGGUUUAGAAGUGCUGUGAGGUUUCAUUGAAUGAGUUGUUCAAGUCCAAACAUUUUACAGCAGACAGCGCCAUCUGGUGGCCUUUGAAAAUCAGGACACUGCUUCAUGAAACCUCAUCUAUCCAUCACUAGUAGUCAGUAGUAAUUCGGACUUCCAUCAGAAUUUGAUGAUCAAUUCUUUACCGUUUAUCGUUGAAAUAUGUUUUUGUGUUUGUUUUUUUACUUACUUUGAUGGAUAAACACAGAUGAUCACAUCACUUCCUGAAUACUAAUAAUACUAAUAAUAACAGAGUGAUAACUUCUCACUUUAGUGUGUGAUACAGAGGUCUUGCACUGCAUGUUUAAAUAAAUAUUGCUUCUUUAAUUCUGACACAAACUUUGGAGUAUUACAGUAAAGUUGAAUUCUUCAAACAAACAAUGUUCAGCUCAUGACGUCAGCAGGCGCGUGUUUUUCCUUUGAAGCUCUGUGUUAAUAUUCCUCCGUGUGAACGCAUCCUAACUGAUGUGAAGCCCAUUUAAGAGCCAAAACUAUUCAGUGGUAACUUGCCAAUACGGUUUCAAAACACAGUGCAGCAUAGAAAAAAACCGGAGUAUUUGUCAACACACUUUGCGGGGUGCCAGUACAAGUGGGUCUCAUUACGCGGAUGAAGCUCCAGUGUCUGUCAGUUGUUCCUCUCCUCAGAAGAUGCAUCAGUGUAAAAUCCUUACAGGCUGUCCUAUCACUGAGCGGCGUGAUGGCAGCUCUUCGCUUUGACUAAGCAGACAUUUUUUACCGAGUUGUUACAGUAACUGUGUGGGUUGAGGAAGAGCACACUCUUAUUAUUUUCCAAGCACAGCUUGUCUGUGGCCGUGGCUUCAUAAGAGCCUGUUGGCUGUUGGCUAUAAUGGUCCUGACAGCAGUGACACAGACAGAAUCUUUGAUUUUUUUCCGCUUCUAAAAGAAGACGCCUGCUUAAUAGGUGAGGCCCUGACAUCACACGGUGUCUUGACCAUUGCUGAUUUAAAUGAAUAUAUUUUAUUUUACUGUCUUUUUUCCAACAUGACCUCUGAUUUAAAGGAGAGUUCAUGAGGGUUUGCUCUUCGUCGUCAUCGCCUGAGCGAACACAUUGCACCUUGAACGACCGAAGGACGCCAGGUGCUACUGCAGUUGCUGCUCAUUUUAAAAUUUCAUGAAAGGCCAGUUCAACCUUCAAUCUGUGCUGCGGAUCUCAGGUUCAAGCUUGUUAAAGACAGCUUUGCUAACUCAUGCUGAAAGCCAGGAGGACUAGAUUAUGAACUGCUAGAGGAAACCUUCAGUGUUGCACUUGCCCGUAUAUUGUGUGCUAUAAAGACAUCAUGGAUCUGUUUUUAAUAUGCCAGGUCCAAUGACUAGAGCUGGAAUAGAUUCAGGCCGACGUCAUGCUCUCAGCCAUAUUAAGGGAGGUUGGCUUUUAGCAAAUAUUUAUAGUAUAUAGCAAACAAAACAUGUGCACUGCAUAUCAGCACACAGAUGUCAUACUUAAAUCAGUGGAAUAGUAUCUGACUGAAGUCUGGACAGAUUUGUAAUGCAAGGGCACUAGUUCUCUGCAACAGCUGGUUUAAUGUUAGUGAAGCGUUUUACAAGGUUGUAAUGGAAGAAUUUGGGCUACAGAUGAAUUGACAUUAUUUUAAAGGAGUUUUCUGUUCCUGGACAAUUAUUAUUAUUAUUAUUAUUAUUAUUAUUAUUAUUAUUAUUAUUAUUAUUAUUAUGAGGUGGGACUUUUAUGAGUUGCUUACGAUUAAUUGCAACAAAAAAAAACAUGUUAAAAUAUUUAAUUUAAUUUUUGCUCUGCAGACAACAGGGAACCUUUGUAAGUGCAGGAGUUCCUGGUCCACUGAUCACACUGAUGCACAAGACGCUCCGCAGCAAGGAUGAUAACAACAACAACAAACAUGGAGGAAUCCGCUGAGAAUGCGUAACUUGGUCAUAUGGGGGCAAAGUUUCAUUUUAAGACAAAUAUUUUCUAGACAUUGAAAGAGCAGUAGUUUAAAUAAGGUGAUGUAAAAACUUGAAUAUAGCCACCAUCGUGAUUUAUUGUGCUAUUGUCAAACUGAUAAACAAUAUUGGAUUCUUGUGGCAAAUAUUCUUAUACCAUUAAACUGCAAUUAAUUGCGAUGAAUUCAUCACAAAUUCGCGAAUAUAUAUAUAUUUUUUAUUGACUCCCAUCCCUAAUUAUUAUUAUGGUCUGAUUUAUUAAUUCAGUUUUUCACAGUGUUUGCCUCACUAUAAGUAGUUGCGGGUUGCACGCCAAAUUUAUGAGGCAUUUUUUUUCCUGCCACUCUGAUUUCCUCCCUCACUCCGGAAACAUGCAGGGGUGAAUUGCUGGCUGUAAUCCAUCCAUAGGUGGGUGUGUGUUGUUUCAGUAGGCUGGUGACCUGUUCAGCACCAGUCCAUGGCGGAAGCAACAGGAUAUAAUGAAACGACAAACCGCUCACACGCUCCCAAUGAGUUCGCCGCAAGACUUGGAUUAUUAUUGACUUACACCAUUACCUUCAGGUCUUUAAUAAAGAGGGUAAUGCAUGUGUUAUGACUCGUCAACUGUUUAUCCUGUCAUCAUCUGCUGCCCCGCUUGCUCCGUUAUAUCAAGCCAAUCGUUCAACGGAGUGCAUUUCUUCUAAAGGACUUCCCGUUCCCCUGUAUUUUCUUGGCUCAGCAACAGUCAAAGAAUCGCUUGGCUGAUGCUCAAGAAUACCCACCUGUCUCUACCCCCCUCCCCCUCCCUCUUUAUCUAUUGAUUUUCAGCCAAUGGGUAACUGAUGAAGCAUCCACCAAAGACAUACUUCAUCUUUUGAACCGACUGCAGCUGACACCUGGCCUGAGGCUAAGCGCAGGCUGUUCUUGUCGCCAGUCCACCACAAUGGACAACAACUCGCAUCGGCCACAGCACCUUCCAUAAUGCCAGCAAGCUCUCUCUGGACCAGUGCAGCUCUGGAUAAAGGCUGGCAGCUGGAGGUUGUUCUUGGAGGUCUCUAUUUUUUUUCCAUCCUUCACUCUGUCUACUCCUUAUCAUUCCUGGUGUUUUUUUUUUUUUUUUGUUCCUCCUGUCAAGUGACAGCAUAUGUUCUGGCAACACCUCCACUCACUGGGAGGGGAAUAAAGUUGGAUAAAGUGAGGAGGAAGUAAGGGAAUGGGGGUUUUAUUUUUCCGUAAAUACACCCAAAAAGUGUACACAUUUUCGUGAGAGGUAAUUUACCUAUUAAGUAGCAAUACAAUUCUAAAAUAUUAUUAGUCAUACACAGAUAGAAGGUGGAAAAAUCAACUCAACUUCCAGCACAUUCCAGUCGCAACUAUCUGUUGUGUGUUUGCUUCAGACUGACCCUUGUUCACUACUGAGCCAGUCAUAACUAUUUGAGUUAUUUUGCUUGCAGACAGACUCCAAAAAAAAAAGUGCCCAUUUGUGGAAACAUCUCUUUUUCCAGGUCAUCAAAGUCCUCAUUGUUUCACUGCCCCCAAAGUCUGCA
RNA transcript from Synchiropus splendidus (mandarinfish), 9058 nucleotides. It is a transcript of the gene named leucine rich repeat containing 4.2, with no coding region annotated. The record is from RefSeq and is a predicted model, not a curated record. NCBI's taxonomy places the organism in Eukaryota, Metazoa, Chordata, Actinopteri, Syngnathiformes, Callionymidae. The transcript has 4 exons.